This 18-nucleotide small nuclear RNA is filed under the name Arabidopsis thaliana (thale cress). RNAcentral describes it as "snRNA_09686". Lineage: Eukaryota; Viridiplantae; Streptophyta; Magnoliopsida; Brassicales; Brassicaceae. The record is from RNAcentral.
ACGGCUCAGCCGGAGGUA